AGAGUUUGAUCCUGGCUCAGGACGAACGCUGGCGGCGUGCCUAAUACAUGCAAGUCGAGCGGACAGAUGGGAGCUUGCUCCCUGAUGUUAGCGGCGGACGGGUGAGUAACACGUGGGUAACCUGCCUGUAAGACUGGGAUAACUCCGGGAAACCGGGGCUAAUACCGGAUGGUUGUUUGAACCGCAUGGUUCAAACAUAAAAGGUGGCUUCGGCUACCACUUACAGAUGGACCCGCGGCGCAUUAGCUAGUUGGUGAGGUAACGGCUCACCAAGGCGACGAUGCGUAGCCGACCUGAGAGGGUGAUCGGCCACACUGGGACUGAGACACGGCCCAGACUCCUACGGGAGGCAGCAGUAGGGAAUCUUCCGCAAUGGACGAAAGUCUGACGGAGCAACGCCGCGUGAGUGAUGAAGGUUUUCGGAUCGUAAAGCUCUGUUGUUAGGGAAGAACAAGUACCGUUCGAAUAGGGCGGUACCUUGACGGUACCUAACCAGAAAGCCACGGCUAACUACGUGCCAGCAGCCGCGGUAAUACGUAGGUGGCAAGCGUUGUCCGGAAUUAUUGGGCGUAAAGGGCUCGCAGGCGGUUUCUUAAGUCUGAUGUGAAAGCCCCCGGCUCAACCGGGGAGGGUCAUUGGAAACUGGGGAACUUGAGUGCAGAAGAGGAGAGUGGAAUUCCACGUGUAGCGGUGAAAUGCGUAGAGAUGUGGAGGAACACCAGUGGCGAAGGCGACUCUCUGGUCUGUAACUGACGCUGAGGAGCGAAAGCGUGGGGAGCGAACAGGAUUAGAUACCCUGGUAGUCCACGCCGUAAACGAUGAGUGCUAAGUGUUAGGGGGUUUCCGCCCCUUAGUGCUGCAGCUAACGCAUUAAGCACUCCGCCUGGGGAGUACGGUCGCAAGACUGAAACUCAAAGGAAUUGACGGGGGCCCGCACAAGCGGUGGAGCAUGUGGUUUAAUUCGAAGCAACGCGAAGAACCUUACCAGGUCUUGACAUCCUCUGACAAUCCUAGAGAUAGGACGUCCCCUUCGGGGGCAGAGUGACAGGUGGUGCAUGGUUGUCGUCAGCUCGUGUCGUGAGAUGUUGGGUUAAGUCCCGCAACGAGCGCAACCCUUGAUCUUAGUUGCCAGCAUUCAGUUGGGCACUCUAAGGUGACUGCCGGUGACAAACCGGAGGAAGGUGGGGAUGACGUCAAAUCAUCAUGCCCCUUAUGACCUGGGCUACACACGUGCUACAAUGGACAGAACAAAGGGCAGCGAAACCGCGAGGUUAAGCCAAUCCCACAAAUCUGUUCUCAGUUCGGAUCGCAGUCUGCAACUCGACUGCGUGAAGCUGGAAUCGCUAGUAAUCGCGGAUCAGCAUGUCGCGGUGAAUACGUUCCCGGGCCUUGUACACACCGCCCGUCACACCACGAGAGUUUGUAACACCCGAAGUCGGUGAGGUAACCUUUUAGGAGCCAGCCGCCGAAGGUGGGACAGAUGAUUGGGGUGAAGUCGAAACAAGGUA
Molecule: ribosomal RNA, 1508 nt
Filed under: metagenome
Description: bacterial SSU rRNA
Rfam family: Bacterial small subunit ribosomal RNA
Source: RNAcentral